UGUCUCUCUCGCUAAAACCCUACACCACCACCGCACCGGACGACGGGUCCGUCGAGCUUCCACCGUUCGAUUCCAAUUUCGCAAACGCUGAUGUCCCUUCAACUCUCCAAAUUUCCACUGGUGUCCUCUACACAGGUGCCAUCGCCGUCUUCCUCUCGUUCUCUCCGUCGCCGAGCAAGGUGAGCCAAACAACUGGUAUGCCAAAUAUUAACUUUUAAUAGGUAUAAUCAAGUAAUUGAACAGUAUUAAUUACUGAAUUGGGUUUUGGUGGGAUUAGAAAUUGAGGUCUACUGGGGCCAAGAAAUCUUUAAAGGAAGAGGCAAUGGAGAGUUUGAAAGCAAUGAAACCAACCUUAGUGGAUACUGCUAAGUCACCUCCAUCCAGGGACGUCCAGUAAUUUUUCCGGCUAUGGCGGAUUUUAACUAAUUUUUUUGUUAAAAUUAAAUAAAGAAAACUUGAAUAUUGGUUAAUAAUUACAAAUUGCAAUAAAUAUUCAUAAUCUAAACUAAAAAAAAUUCAAAUAAAAAAUAUUUAGAUACAAUUUAGUUGUCAUAGUUCAAUUUGAAUUCAAAUUAUUCCCCAAAUGCUUAAAAUCUCAAACCAAAUUUGCUUUCUAUAUUUAAACAAACUCAUGAAUUAAUUUAGAAUAUGAAUGUGUUUGUCUAUUUAGAAUAUGAAUGAUUUUUUUUCCCCUCCAAGUUUAACUCUUAUAUUAAUCUGCCCCCUUAAAUUUAUUCACUUACAUAUUUUUGCUCCUAUACUUCUAAAAAAGAAUCUAGUGCCCUUUAACAAAUCAGCCCCUGCCUCCAUCGGCUGUUCCAGCAUUGUUGGGAGGGGUAUCAACUGGUGUUAUUACGCUUAUUCUUAACAAGUUUACCACAACUAUAAAGGCCUCUGUAAAUUGCCAUACUCUUUCAGAUAAUUUCUAUGUUUGUUUCUCUAUUGCAUUUUUUUCGUGUUUGAGGAAACUUGCUUAUUUAGUACAUUAUUAUGCUCAAUGUGCGGAUUAGAAGUAUAAAAUUAUAAUCUGAUAAAAUUCAGAUGAAUGUGCGGAUUUGAAGUGUAAAAUUAUAAUCAGAUAAAAUUCAGAUGAGACAAUAUAAGAUAUGGGAAAUACUACUUAUUCACUGAUUGCAUGACUUUGAAAUAACUUCCUAAUAAUGCACCAAGUAUAAUAUCCAAUCAAGUCUCUUAAGAUUCAGUAAUAGAAAGAAGUUGUUGUUGUUAUUAUUUUGGGGUUGGGGUGGGGGUGGGGGGUCAUCAGGUGUUCAGAAUUUUCUAGAUUUUGACCCUCCCUUUGGUUAAUAGCAUCCAUUGGCUGGAUCAAUAACAUAAAUGACUAUAAAGUUGAAUUCUUUCAUUGAGUAACAGUAGAACCAACAUGCCAAAUUUGGUUGUGCCUCGAAACACAUCAUUCUGAUAUUUGAUUUUGAUUGCCAAGUAUCAUUUAUCACUGUUGGUAAUAUUCCCCUGGCUAAUAUCGUAUUUUUAAAUUCACUAACGUUAACAUCUUAUCAGUUAAUCUUGGAGUGAGGAGGCAGGACAUUCUUUCUUCUUCUUUUUGGCCCUAAGUAUGCGAAUUAGAACCAGUGACCUCGAGGUUAUUCUCAAUGCUUCUAUCAUUCCUCCCACCCCAAGAGGUUUAUGUUUGGGCAGGAAUUCAAUCAGUAUAUAUGUUAGUUGUAGUGGCUCUAUGGCCACAUGGUAAAACACCCGUCCUACCUAUUUGGCAAUAUGGUCAACCCGUAAAUCAUCAUUAGCCUUAUUAUGGCACUUACGAUGAAGUCCCUUCUUGUGAGAGUUUCAUUUUUGUUUGUAAGAUAUUUUAAAACUUUACAUCUUUUGUAGGAAUUGGAAUAAUCAUUUAACAGGAAGUGUUGUAAUAUAUGUUAAGGGAGCUGAUAUUUCCACGGGGUAUGAGUUAUGACCCACCUAUAACCAAACCAAACAUGUUGUAGUACAUUAAUCAGGAUAGAGAUUUUCUAUUCCAAAUUUGUCCCUUCUAUCUUUAUCUGUCCUCAUCUACGAUCGUCUCUCUCUACUUUAUCUUCACAAGAAAUAAGAAUCAAAUUAUACAACACAGUACUAGAAAUCAAGUGUAUAUAUUCAUCUGGGAAUUAAGCUUACACAGAGACAUAAGAAAGAAAAUUUAUUAAAAGCGUCUUAAAAUUUCUUUUAAUAGAGACCAUCAAAAAAAGGCAAUUAGAAAGUUGUCAUCGUAAUUUUUCGUCCGGCCGUUGAACCUCUACCAAUGCCGACUCCCCGAUACUACUCACAAAAACUCAACCAAAAGUCUCAUCUCAAAUCACAUAAGACGAUAUCUUAAUCAAAGCUUCCACAUCUCAAAUCACACACAAGACCCAUUGAAGUUUUUCUUACAAAAUUCAUCAUAUAUAGUUUCUAAAAUUGAUCUUUUUUGAAAGAGAUGAGGAAAUACCUUUGAAUGGAAAAAUGCCUCUUUUGAUGAGUUCCGGGUACUGAAAAUACCCCAUGAAACCACGUGCAGAUGCGGUUCAAAACUGCACAAGCAGAAUCCCAAAUUCAUCUGCUAUUAUGCUUGUAAUCGGCGGAAUCUCAGCCGUUGACUUUAGCUUAAUUAAUAGAUCUUGAAACGGAGCCAAACAAUUCUUUAAAACAGAUUCAAACACGGCUACAGGGAAAUGAGAUUUAGUAGGCUCGAUCCGCCGCAAUCCCUCCGGUAUGGUCUCGAACCGGAAAUCGGCAAAACCCGCAACCCAUUUGGGUCCUUUGGACCGGACUAAGCUCCUCUGGUUGUGUUCAGAAUUGAUGAAGUUGAUGUGAAAUCCUUUGGAGUGAAGAAGCUUGGCUAGUUGCAUCAUGGGGAUUAUAUGGCCUUGUGCUGAAAUGGAACGUAUACUAGAUUGGGAUAUAUACACUUGAUUUCUAAUACAGUGUUGUAUAAUUUGGUUCUUAUUUCUUGUGAAGAUAAUGGAGAGAUACGAUCGUAGAUGAGGACAGAUAAAGAUAGAAGAAGGGGUAAAUUUGGAAUUGAAAUUUUCUAUCCUGGUUAAUUUGGUUAAAGGUGGGUCAUACCCUGCGGAAACAUCAAAAUACCCUGCGGAAAUAUCAUUUCCCCAUGUUAAUUAUUAUAAGAUAUCAUGAAUCAAAAUCUAGUGCGCAAUUUUACUGGAUAAACUGGUACUAGGUUCUUCCAGUUACAGCAACUGCAUAAAUUGUUCUAUAUUGCUACAAGUGAAGGAAAAUAAUGUGUAGCUCAUAACUAACAUUAUGUUCUCAUUUUAUACUACAUUCAACUUGGAUACUGUUAGUUUUUUUUCUUUUCAUCUUUUCAGUUUGUGGUAUCAUUGAUCAUUUAUUGUUACUAAAAAAAGGUUCAAUUAAGCUUUUAGAAGCCUAAAAGUUUUUCAUCAAAGAUGCUUUAUUUCAUUCAAAUUACUUGGUCUUAAAGGUGAAUUUUCACCUUAAUAAACUGGAGAUAAGAAAAGAACUUCACAAGUUAGUGAUAAACAAGAAACUAGUAUAUGAUAUCAACACUGAUUCCCUCUCUUUUUAAUUUUAUUUAUAUUUAAUGGAAAGAAGUCUUCUUGCUUAUGUGGGAAAUGUUGCUGUGCUUUUCUUGCUGUUUUCAUCAGUUAAUAGCCCAAUAGUAAAACUGUUCUUCGUAUUUGGCACAAUAACUAUAAGGUUGUGAUUUCAGCAUCUAUUUUUUAGCAUUCUUUGCUUUGAACUUGGAUUAAUGAUUCAACCUUUACUGUCUGCAGGACUAUUAUAAAUGGGUUUUGAUAUCUUGCUACUUUCGUUUUUGGCAUCAACUCUUUAGGUUUGGUCCUUUACUCAGGCCACCCGGGCAUCAACUUUUUUUUAUGGGAGAUUCUACUGAUGAAAAAACUGAUAAAAAGAUAAGAUGAGGCAAGUUCGCCAAAUUUGACAGCAAGUGGUAGCUCUGAAAAGAACAGCAGAAGCAGGGAUCAAAAUUCAGACAGUAUGCUAUUGUGGAUGAGUAAAAUUCAAAAGGAAAGAACAGGUUUUGAGGGCUCCUUACCAAACUGUAGUUGCAUCUUUCUAAUCAAUCUAUAUUAUGCAAUUUUAUACUAAUGGUUUUUAUGACAUUUAUUCAGCCUUAUUAGGUUCUUUUAUUGGUCAAUAACUUUUACAAGCAUCCUACCUUUCCUCUCCUUGGUCUAGUUUCUCUUUUAUCAACUUAGUUUUUAUAAUAUACAUAAUCCAUAAGUAACUAGAGCUGGUCAUUAAAGUCAAUAUUUGCAAAUAUUGACUUCUAAAAGGUUGUAGGUUGUGAAUUAAGCGGAAACUGUCUGUUUAUACUCUCAUGGUAGAAGGCUAUUUCUCUGAGCUUCUACUUCAAUUUACAUUUGAUCUUUCGUGGUUCCCAAAAGCCUUGGUGACAGCGGCUAAUUCUUCACCAAUCUUGUGGAAAUGGAGAUGCCUCAACUGUGGUUGAAAUUGAUACGGUGGAGUUGAAUUGUUGUCUAGAUUAUACAAAACUGCUACCAUAAUGACUGAGGAAGCGAACAUUGGGAUUGGUCCGAAAAUCCAGAGUAUCAAAGUGGUGGCAAAGUAAAGCGCACGCAUGCCAAUUGCCCAGAAUUACUUCCUCUUAUAACUGGCUUCUUUACAUAGCUUACAGGAAUUUCACUGUCUGGCAUGCUAAUGAGAAAAGCGGCAAGGGCAUAGUUCCUUAUCGUUUGUAUGAAAGAAGCAAAAGCAAUUAGGAAGCAUGAUAGGAGAGCAAUGUACUUGAUGGAAGUGGCUGUUGGCCUGGUAUCUCCGUAGACAACACUGCUUGAAAGAAUGUAUUUUUCGGAAGGGCUCCCAAUCCAUGCUCCAAUCAAAGAGCUCAGAACAAGAGAAACUGAAGAUAGGGAUGUUGCUGCAGUUAUGCUGCUAUUAAUUACUGCUAUGCUUGUCCCUUUGUCCUUACGUUCGAGCUUGGGAUUUAACCCAUAGACAGGUUUAAUAAGAUUAAGCUAGAUUCAUGUAGAAUAUACUUCAUCUCUUGUUGAGAAGGAAGAAAUUUUAUAGUUUCUAACCUGCAUAGUUUUCUCAACCCAGGCGUUCUUGUAGUGAUCUUCACAGCCCAUCACUGUGGUUUGAGGAAAUUUUAGGUAUUUGUAGAGAAGAAAGAGAUGAUAGCUGAACAUGAUCAACAACCCGAUUGGUACCAAGAUUAGAUCCAAGUACUCUUCCUUCCAUUUCCAACUCAUGUUCCUCUCUGUUUGAGAGAUUCUGUGUGUGAGAGAGGGAGUUUAGACGAGGAGGAUGGGUUUUAGCUUUUGAUUAUGUUUUUUAGUAGUGGAUUUGGUAAAAUUAAAGGAUGUUUGUCAAUUUGUUUGUUUGAAUAUGGAUUUUGGUUGUGCGUGAUGCACCUAACGCAACUAUAAAAGAAAUGACAAUUUGCUAGUAAUACUUGUCAUUACGACUUCCUAUACUUCAGCCUACUAUUUAUUAUACACGUAAUUUCUAC
Molecule: long non-coding RNA, 5464 nt
Filed under: Panax ginseng (ginseng)
Lineage: Eukaryota; Viridiplantae; Streptophyta; Magnoliopsida; Apiales; Araliaceae
Description: long non-coding RNA (PGIN_LNC007955)
Source: RNAcentral